Molecule: ribosomal RNA, 403 nt
Filed under: Clostridioides difficile
Lineage: Bacteria; Bacillati; Bacillota; Clostridia; Peptostreptococcales; Peptostreptococcaceae
Description: partial 23S ribosomal RNA
Rfam family: Bacterial large subunit ribosomal RNA
Source: RNAcentral
CCAGCGAGAGAACUGUUGUUAAGGAACUCGGCAAAAUGACCCCGUAACUUAGGGAUAAGGGGUGCCACCAUCAGGUGGCCGCAGAGAAUAGGCCCAAGCGACUGUUUACCAAAAACAUAGGUUUCUGCUAAGUCGCAAGACGAUGUAUAGGAGCUGACGCCUGCCCGGUGCUGGAAGGUUAAGGGGAUCUGUUAGAGCAAUCGAAGCAGUGAACUUAAGCCCCAGUAAACGGCGGCCGUAACUAUAACGGUCCUAAGGUAGCGAAAUUCCUUGUCGGGUAAGUUCCGACCCGCACGAAAGGCGUAACGAUUUGGGCACUGUCUCAACAACAGACUCGGUGAAAUUGUAAUUCCGGUGAAGAUGCCGGAUACCUGCGACAGGACGGAAAGACCCCAUGGAGCUU